ACACGGAAGGAAUUGUGGUCCUUGAAACCAUAUCAGUGGAUAUCCUCAUGUAUUAUAAAUCUCAUUGUUGUGAAAUUGACAAAUAAACAAAGGAAAAAGUUUCCAAAUAAGGAUCACAAGGUUUGGUACUUUCCGACCCAUGUAUCGCAAAAGAUUUUGUGUCAACCUUCUGAUGACACAAUGAAAGAUAUAGUAGAAGAUUAUUUUGGAAUUUACAGAUACACUGGCCCCCUUCAUGCUUGUGAGGAGAUUUACAUGCCCUUCAACCAUGGGAAAAACCACUGGUUGUGCUUGAAUGUAAACAUGGAAAAAUGGGUUGCCUAUCUAUUCGACUCCAGCAGAUGUAUUGGCACCGAUGAGGAUCGAAAAAAUCAAGCUACAUUA
Camellia sinensis is the source of this 384-nucleotide non-coding RNA. NCBI's taxonomy places the organism in Eukaryota, Viridiplantae, Streptophyta, Magnoliopsida, Ericales, Theaceae. The record is from RefSeq and is a predicted model, not a curated record.